UUUCUAAAAAUCAUCACAAUAAAGGAAAGGGUCAGAAAAUAUUCUGUUAUUUACAGAGCCAGAGGGAAAGAGCUCCAGGUCUCUUGGCAUCAUGUCUUCAGUGCUGGUGGCUUCCUAUUUGCCAGUUCUAUCCUCAAGUGCCAAGAGACAG
Lepus europaeus (European hare) is the source of this 151-nucleotide small nucleolar RNA. RefSeq annotates it as small nucleolar RNA SNORA57. The transcript has a single exon. NCBI's taxonomy places the organism in Eukaryota, Metazoa, Chordata, Mammalia, Lagomorpha, Leporidae. The record is from RefSeq and is a predicted model, not a curated record.